GUGGGAUUCUUCGAUGAUCCUCCAUCUCCAGCAUUUUCCUGACUUCCACUUUUAUUUCCUCCCUUUUGGCUGCUGCCACAGGGUAGGGCCUCAUAGUUACGCUGGCCCCAGGGUUUGUAAUGAUGUGGUGAUAUGUCCCGGUUGUGUGACCCGGCUUUGUUGAGAAUACAUCUUGAUAUUUGGCAAUCAUCUCAGUUACCUCUUUCUUCUGGACUGUCGUUAGAUCAGGAGACACCCUCACCUGUUCAUGUUUUUUGUUCCCUGGAUGCAGCUCUUCUCGAAUCACUGUGCAUGCCAUGGUUUCAGAAGGUUGACAUGUUAUAUCUGCUCUACUUUUCGAUGUCCUGGUUGUCACACCUUGUAAUUUACUUUCUCUAUGGGUUCAACUAUUUCAUAGGGCCCUUCCCACUGGGCCAACACCUUACUUUCAGCCCUGGGUACCAGUACCAUUACUCAGUCAUUGGGUUGAAACUGAUGAAGCUUGGCUUGACGGUCAUAGUAUGUUCUCUGGGCCUCUUGGGCCUUCUCUAGGUGCUUCCUUACUAUGGGAGUGACCUGGGCCAUCCAGUCCCUCAUCCGUAGUACAUGUUCUAUUAUGUUCUUCCCCUCACUGGGUUCCUCCUCCCAAAUUUCCUUGGCUAUGUCCAGGAUGCCUUCGGGGUUGCAUCCAUACAACAGCUCAAAGGGGGAGAAGCCGGUGGAAGCUUGGGAGACCUCACAGAUGGUGAGCAUGAGGUACGGUAGUAGGUUGUCUCAAUCUUUCCCAUCCUUGCUUACCACCUUUCUUAUCAGGGCCUUGAGGGUUUGGUUAAAUCUUUCCACUAGACCACCGGUUGUGGAUGGUAAACCGAGAUCCACAGGGUCUGGACAUGGAGCAGGGAACAACUUGGACAUGAAUGGUGUUCCGUGGUCUGUGAGGAUUUCUUUUGGUAGCCCUACCCAGGAAAAGAUUGCCACUAAUUCUUUGGCAAUGCUCUUGGAAGCUGUGUUUCAUAAGAGGACAGCUUCUGGGUACCUGGUUGCAUAGUCUAGGAUGACAGGCACAUAUUGGUGGCCUCGGGUCGUUUUCUCUAGCGGCCUCACAAGAUCCAUGGUGAUCCGCUCAGACGGACCUUCAAUGAUCGGCAAGGGUACCAGAGGAGCUCUUAUAUGUGGACAAGGGCUGUGCGGUUGACAUUUGGGGCAAGAGACACAGUACUGCCGGACGUCUUCAUGUACCUCCGGCCUGAAGAACCUGCGUAAGAUUCUCGCCUGGGUUUUAUGCACUCCCAAAUGUCCUCCAAAAAGGUGACUGUGAGCGAGGCUUAAUAUUGCCUUCUGGUGUUUCCGGGGGACUAGGAGCUGGUGUACCUCCACUCCUGCAUUUGCGCCACCUGUUACAGGAAAUUCCUCUUGAUCACAAAAUAAGGUCCUGGCCCCCGGGCCUUUCCUUCUAUGGGUAUGUCAUCUAUUUCAGCCACCUCCUUCCUGGCGUUCUUGUACCUUGGAUCUUCCACCUGGUCCUGUCCAAAAGUCUCACUAGGAGGGCAGUGAAGCGCUGGAGUGGGUUCCCUAGGAAGAUGAUCAGGGAAGAGAAUUCCAGGGGAAACCUGUGAUGCACAGAAUGGGGCUGAGAUAACUGUUGACAGGAGUCAGGAAUUGCUCCCCUGAAACAGCAGCAGGAUUGGGCAGCUGGAAAUCUCACCAAAGGAGCUGAAACCUUGAUGGGUCAGACAUAGAUGUCCCAGAGUCUCUCUUCUGCCAGAUUUUAAGAAAGUCAGGC
This is a long non-coding RNA of Gopherus evgoodei (Goodes thornscrub tortoise), 1762 nucleotides long. RefSeq lists it as uncharacterized. The transcript has 3 exons. NCBI's taxonomy places the organism in Eukaryota, Metazoa, Chordata, Testudines, Testudinidae. The record is from RefSeq and is a predicted model, not a curated record.